This 414-nucleotide ribosomal RNA is filed under the name Streptococcus sanguinis. Its description in RNAcentral is "bacterial SSU rRNA". It matches the Rfam family "Bacterial small subunit ribosomal RNA", at positions 28 to 432 of the family's 1533-position model. The record is from RNAcentral. Lineage: Bacteria; Bacillati; Bacillota; Bacilli; Lactobacillales; Streptococcaceae.
GACGAACGCUGGCGGCGUGCCUAAUACAUGCAAGUAGAACGCUGAAGAGAGGAGCUUGCUCUUCUUGGAUGAGUUGCGAACGGGUGAGUAACGCGUAGGUAACCUGCCUGGUAGCGGGGGAUAACUAUUGGAAACGAUAGCUAAUACCGCAUGAUAUUAAUUGUCGCAUGAUAAUUAAUUGAAAGAUGCAAUUGCAUCACUACCAGAUGGACCUGCGUUGUAUUAGCUAGUUGGUGAGGUAACGGCUCACCAAGGCGACGAUACAUAGCCGACCUGAGAGGGUGAUCGGCCACACUGGGACUGAGACACGGCCCAGACUCCUACGGGAGGCAGCAGUAGGGAAUCUUCGGCAAUGGGGGGAACCCUGACCGAGCAACGCCGCGUGAGUGAAGAAGGUUUUCGGAUCGUAAAGCU